Molecule: transfer RNA, 73 nt
Filed under: Stegodyphus mimosarum
Lineage: Eukaryota; Metazoa; Arthropoda; Arachnida; Araneae; Eresidae
Rfam family: tRNA
About the family: Transfer RNA (tRNA) molecules are approximately 80 nucleotides in length. Their secondary structure includes four short double-helical elements and three loops (D, anti-codon, and T loops).
Source: Rfam by way of RNAcentral
GCCUUCGUGGUGUAGUGGUCAGCACACUCGACGCGUAUUCGAGAGGUCCGUGGUUCAAGUCCCGGCGAGGGCA